CUUGUCUGAUAUUGUUUCAGAUUUCGGCAUAGACAAAACGUAUCGCUUCCGAGGUCGUUUGGCUUCCCUUGGGGUAGAUAGUGCUGGUCGUGUCAACGUGACUGGCUGUGUCGUGGUGAUUGGAGGCUCAUGAUGUGUGGUAGCGGGGCGAGUUGCUGUCCUACAAUGCCUUGGAGAUGACCACAGAGAAGUUGGUUUACAAUGUGAGGUUCCUGAUUUGGAAUCUGGUUCGGAAGACUCUUACUUUGUUCUCCGACCGGACAGUGUCCCUCAAGUUCGAUUUGGAUAGGCCACAGUUUCCCAAGACUUCAUCUUUAUACCUCAACAUUAUUGUCUGCUGUCUUUGACAUCACUCGUACUUUAGAUUCUCUACACUGACCACCACAAGAAUUAAG
Engraulis encrasicolus (European anchovy) is the source of this 395-nucleotide long non-coding RNA. RefSeq lists it as uncharacterized. NCBI's taxonomy places the organism in Eukaryota, Metazoa, Chordata, Actinopteri, Clupeiformes, Engraulidae. The transcript has 3 exons. The record is from RefSeq and is a predicted model, not a curated record.